Molecule: transfer RNA, 50 nt
Filed under: Walchia hayashii
Lineage: Eukaryota; Metazoa; Arthropoda; Arachnida; Trombidiformes; Trombiculidae
Description: tRNA-Ser
Source: RNAcentral
ACUACUUUAAAUCUGUUUUGAAAACAGAAAAAAGAGAAAUCUAAGUAGUU